UUCAAUUGGAGAGUUUGAUCCUGGCUCAGAACGAACGCUAGCGGCGUGCCUAACACAUGCAAGUCGAACGAGAAAGGGUUCUUCGGAGCCUGAGUAAAGUGGCGGACGGGUGAGUAACACGUGAGUAACCUGCCCUCAGGAUAGGGAUAACAUCUCGAAAGGGAUGCUAAUACCUAGUAUGACCACAGAAACAAAAGUUUCAGGGGUAAAAGGUGGCCUCUGGUUAAUCAUUAGCCAUUAUGGCAAGUGAAAGACCAAGCUGCUGCCUGAGGAGGGGCUCGCGGACCAUUAGCUAGUUGGGAGGGUAAUGGCCUACCAAGGCGACGAUGGUUAGCUGGUCUGAGAGGAUGAUCAGCCACACUGGGACUGAGAUACGGCCCAGACUCCUACGGGAGGCAGCAGUGGGGAAUAUUGCGCAAUGGGGGAAACCCUGACGCAGCAACGCCGCGUGGGUGAUGAAGGCCUUCGGGUCGUAAAACCCUGUCAGGCAGGAAGAAUACCAAAUAAGUGAAGAGCUUAUUUGUUUGACGGUACUGCCAGAGGAAGCCCCGGCUAACUCCGUGCCAGCAGCCGCGGUAAUACGGAGGGGGCUAGCGUUGUUCGGAAUUAUUGGGCGUAAAGAGCGCGUAGGUGGUUGGGUAAGUCAGACGUGAAAUCCCCUGGCUCAACCAGGGAAGGGCGUCUGAAACUGCUUAACUUGAGUGCGGUAGAGGAGAGUGGAAUUCCCGGUGGAGCGGUGAAAUGCGUAGAUAUCGGGAAGAACACCGUUGGCGAAGGCGGCUCUCUGGACCGCAACUGACACUGAGGUGCGAAAGCUAGGGGAGCAAACGGGAUUAGAUACCCCGGUAGUCCUAGCCGUAAACGAUGGGCACUAGGUGUAGAGGGUGCCGACCUCCUCUGUGCCGAAGCUAACGCAUUAAGUGCCCCGCCUGGGGAGUAUGGUCGCAAGGCUGAAACUCAAAGGAAUUGACGGGGGCCCGCACAAGCGGUGGAGCAUGUGGUUUAAUUCGACGCAACGCGAAGAACCUUACCUGGGCUUGACAUGUAUCUAAAAGGGUAUAGAAAUAUACCCCUCCCUUCGGGGUAGAUACACAGGUGCUGCAUGGCUGUCGUCAGCUCGUGUCGUGAGAUGUUGGGUUAAGUCCUGCAACGAGCGCAACCCUUACUCUUAGUUGCCAGCGGGUUAUGCCGGGAACUCUAAGGGAACUGCCGGUUAUAAACCGGAGGAAGGAGGGGAUGACGUCAAGUCCUCAUGGCCUUUAUGUCCAGGGCUACACACGUGCUACAAUGGCCUGUACAAAGGGUAGCAAACCCGCGAGGGGAAGCCAAUCCCAAAAAGCAGGUCUCAGUUCGGAUUGGAGUCUGCAACUCGACUCCAUGAAGGCGGAAUCGCUAGUAAUCGUGGAUCAGCACGCCACGGUGAAUACGUUCCCGGGCCUUGUACACACCGCCCGUCACACCACGAAAGUCAAUUGUACCCGAAGUCGCUGAGCUAACCCUUUACCGGGAAGUAAGUGCCGAAGGUAUGGUUGGCAAUUGGGGUGAAGUCGUAACAAGGUAGCCGUAGGGGAACCUGCGGCUGGAUCACCUCCUUUCUAAGGAG
RNAcentral lists this ribosomal RNA (1603 nucleotides) under Nitrospinae bacterium RIFCSPLOWO2_12_FULL_45_22. RNAcentral's name for it is "bacterial SSU rRNA". It matches the Rfam family "Bacterial small subunit ribosomal RNA". The record is from RNAcentral. Lineage: Bacteria; Pseudomonadati; Nitrospinota.